AAGUCGUAACAAGGUUUCCGUAGGUGAACCUGCGGAAGGAUCAUUAUUGAAUAGUAUUGGGCGCUGUGCUGGCCUCUCGGGGCAUGUGCACGCGUUCAACAUCUACUUCUAUCUAUCUCUUGUGAACCUAGUGUGGAUCUUGAACCCUGUCGGCAAAGGCCUUUGGAGCAGCAAUGCUUCGUUGGCUGGAGCCUUCGGGGAUCUUGAACCAUUUUUAUAAACCUUUAUUUGAAUCUAUUAGAAUGUCUUCUUUACUUGACGCAAGUCAGUAAAAAACCUAUACAACUUUCAGCAACGGAUCUCUUGGCUCUC
RNAcentral lists this unclassified non-coding RNA (312 nucleotides) under air metagenome. RNAcentral's name for it is "partial contains small subunit ribosomal RNA, internal transcribed spacer 1, and 5.8S ribosomal RNA". The stretch from base 1 to 46 matches the Rfam family "Eukaryotic small subunit ribosomal RNA", at positions 1786 to 1831 of the family's 1831-position model. The record is from RNAcentral.